This is a non-coding RNA of Phrynosoma platyrhinos (Desert horned lizard), 72 nucleotides long. The record is from the annotation of a GenBank genome assembly. NCBI's taxonomy places the organism in Eukaryota, Metazoa, Chordata, Lepidosauria, Squamata, Phrynosomatidae.
GCCAGCAUGGCAUAGUGGUUUGAGUGUUGGACUAUGACUUUAGAGACUAGGGUUCAAUUCCCAGUUCAGCCA